ACGGGUGAGUAACGCGUGGGAACGUGCCCUUCGGUUCGGAAUAACUCAGGGAAACUUGAGCUAAUACCGGAUACGUGCGAGAGCAGAAAGGUUUAUCUGCCGAAGGAUCGGCCCGCGUCUGAUUAGCUAGUUGGUGAGGUUAUGGCUCACCAAGGCGACGAUCAGUAGCUGGUCUGAGAGGAUGAUCAGCCACACUGGGACUGAGACACGGCCCAGACUCCUACGGGAGGCAGCAGUGGGGAAUAUUGGACAAUGGGGGCAACCCUGAUCCAGCCAUGCCGCGUGAGUGAUGACGGCCUUAGGGUUGUAAAGCUCUUUUCUCCGGGACGAUAAUGACGGUACCGGAGGAAUAAGCCCCGGCUAACUUCGUGCCAGCAGCCGCGGUAAUACGAAGGGGGCUAGCGUUGCUCGGAAUCACUGGGCGUAAAGGGCGCGUAGGCGGCUGAUUUAGUCGAGGGUGAAAGCCCGUGGCUCAACCACGGAAUGGCCUUCGAUACUGAUUGGCUUGAGACCGGAAGAGGACAGCGGAACUGCGAGU
This 538-nucleotide ribosomal RNA is filed under the name uncultured bacterium. RNAcentral describes it as "bacterial SSU rRNA". It matches the Rfam family "Bacterial small subunit ribosomal RNA", at positions 102 to 674 of the family's 1533-position model. The record is from RNAcentral.